CCUACGGGAGGCUGCAGUGAGGAAUAUUGGUCAAUGGGCGCUAGCCUGAACCAGCCAAGUAGCGUGAAGGAUGACGGCCCUAUGGGUUGUAAACUUCUUUUAUAUGAGAAUAAAGUGCAGUAUGUAUACUGCUUUGCAUGUACCUUAUGAAUAAGGAUCGGCUAACUCCGUGCCAGCAGCCGCGGUAAUACGGAGGAUUCGAGCGUUAUCCGGAUUUAUUGGGUUUAAAGGGAGCGUAGGCGGGUUGUUAAGUCAGUUGUGAAAGUUUGCGGCUCAACCGUAAAAUUGCAGUUGAUACUGGCAGCCUUGAGUACAGUAGAGGUAGGCGGAAUUCGUGGUGUAGCGGUGAAAUGCUUAGAUAUCACGAAGAACUCCGAUUGCGAAGGCAGCCUGCUGGACUGUAACUGACGCUGAUGCUCGAAAGUGUGGGUAUCAAACAGGAUUAGAUACCCGAGUAGUC
Molecule: ribosomal RNA, 460 nt
Filed under: uncultured bacterium
Lineage: Bacteria
Description: partial 16S ribosomal RNA
Rfam family: Bacterial small subunit ribosomal RNA
Source: RNAcentral